GCUCCUGUAGCUCAGUAGGUAGAGCACGUGGCUGUUAACCACGUUGUCGCAGGUUCGAAUCCUGCCGGGAGCGCCA
This 76-nucleotide transfer RNA is filed under the name archaeon. Its description in RNAcentral is "tRNA-Asn". It matches the Rfam family "tRNA". Rfam says of the family: Transfer RNA (tRNA) molecules are approximately 80 nucleotides in length. Their secondary structure includes four short double-helical elements and three loops (D, anti-codon, and T loops). RNAcentral also lists the same sequence under 1 other name. The record is from RNAcentral.